CUGAGUGAGGGCCUUCGGGCUCGACCUCCAACCCUUUGUGAACACAAACUUGUUGCUUCGGGGGCGACCCUGCCGUUUCGACGGCGAGCGCCCCCGGAGACCAUCAAACACUGCAUCUUUGCGUCGGAGUUUAAGUAAAUUAAACA
RNAcentral lists this ribosomal RNA (146 nucleotides) under Septoria erigerontis. Its description in RNAcentral is "internal transcribed spacer 1". Lineage: Eukaryota; Fungi; Ascomycota; Dothideomycetes; Mycosphaerellales; Mycosphaerellaceae. The record is from RNAcentral. RNAcentral also lists the same sequence under 1 other name.